Molecule: ribosomal RNA, 448 nt
Filed under: uncultured bacterium
Lineage: Bacteria
Description: bacterial SSU rRNA
Rfam family: Bacterial small subunit ribosomal RNA
Source: RNAcentral
AACGAACGCUGGCGGCAGGCCUAACACAUGCAAGUCGAGCGAAGCCUUCGGGUUUAGCGGCGGACGGGUGAGUAACGCGUGGGAAUAUGCCCUUUGGUACGGAACAGUCCCGGGAAACUGGGUUUAAUACCGUAUGUGGUCCUUCGUAGUGGAUACGGGGGACGAAAGAUUUAUCGCCAAAGGAUUAGCCCGCGUUGGAUUAGGUAGUUGGUGGGGUAACGGCCUACCAAGCCGACGAUCCAUAGCUGGUUUGAGAGGAUGAUCAGCCACACUGGGACUGAGACACGGCCCAGACUCCUACGGGAGGCAGCAGUGGGGAAUCUUAGACAAUGGGGGCAACCCUGAUCUAGCCAUGCCGCGUGAGUGAUGAAGGCCUUAGGGUUGUAAAGCACUUUCAGCUGGGAAGAUAAUGACGGUACCAGCAGAAGAAGCCCCGGCUAACUCCGUG